This 262-nucleotide ribosomal RNA is filed under the name uncultured archaeon. RNAcentral describes it as "partial 16S ribosomal RNA". It matches the Rfam family "Archaeal small subunit ribosomal RNA", at positions 748 to 1008 of the family's 1478-position model. The record is from RNAcentral.
AGGGUGUAAACGCUGCAGACUUGGUGUUGGAAGUCCUUUGGGGGCAUUCAGUGCCGGAGAGAAGUUGUUAAGUCUGCUACUUGGGGAGUACGUCCGCAAGGAUGAAACUUAAAGGAAUUGGCGGGGGAGCACCGCAACGGGAGGAGCGUGCGGUUUAAUUGGAUUCAACACCGUAAAACUCACCAGGGAAGACUGUUACAUGAAAGCCGAGAUGAAGACUCUGCUAGAUUUUUCAGAGAGGAGGUGCAUGGCGUCAGUGACU